UGCAGCUAUGGCGGAACCGGUAGACGCGCUAGAUUCAGGUUCUAGUGAGCUUUUGCUCAUGGAAGUUCAAGUCUUCUUAGCUGCAAC
Molecule: transfer RNA, 87 nt
Filed under: Chlamydia suis
Lineage: Bacteria; Pseudomonadati; Chlamydiota; Chlamydiia; Chlamydiales; Chlamydiaceae
Description: tRNA-Ser(cag)
Rfam family: tRNA
About the family: Transfer RNA (tRNA) molecules are approximately 80 nucleotides in length.
Source: RNAcentral